GUGGGUUUCCACGGCGGAAGACGUCAUCCUGCACAAGCUGGUCUGGAAUCGCAUCUCGCCUUCCAACCGCCAGCUCGGCGACGCGGCGGGUGUGGUAGCCGUGCAAGCCGAUACCUUGGACAAAAACUAUUUGAGGCACUGGGCGCAGGAACUGAAACUCGCCAGCGAACUGGAACGGCUCCUGAGCGGUGAAAUCAAACCCAAGCAAACUUGAAAUGCAACGAACCGGCCGGUUCGUGCCUCGCCUUUGACUUGUCGCGCCGAAGCAUCGCGAAGGCGGAACCACUCGCGUCUGACCGCCCGACCUGCUAGAACACGCCCAUGUCGAAGCUGGAACUGAACCCCCACAAGUCAGUCCGUAAUCCCGACUUCGCGCGGCGCAACAUGGUAGCCGACUCUUUGAAAAAACGGCAGUUACUCAAUGCAUAAUAAUCAGUCCAACAAGUUCGUCUGCGCCUCGUGCCUAGAGGAUGAGGUGCUUCAAAAUUUCGUAAGACAGAGUGG
Molecule: unclassified non-coding RNA, 504 nt
Filed under: uncultured fungus
Lineage: Eukaryota; Fungi
Description: sequence contains 18S rRNA gene, ITS1, 5.8S rRNA gene, ITS2, 28S rRNA gene
Source: RNAcentral